Molecule: small nuclear RNA, 167 nt
Organism: Cricetulus griseus (Chinese hamster)
Lineage: Eukaryota; Metazoa; Chordata; Mammalia; Rodentia; Cricetidae
Gene: U1
Rfam family: U1 spliceosomal RNA
About the family: U1 is a small nuclear RNA (snRNA) component of the spliceosome (involved in pre-mRNA splicing). Its 5' end forms complementary base pairs with the 5' splice junction, thus defining the 5' donor site of an intron.
Source: Ensembl
AUAUUUACCUGGCAGGGGAGAUACCAUGAUCACGAAGGUGGUUUUCCCAGGGCAAGACUUAUCCAUUGCACUCCAGAUGUGCUGACUCCAGUGAUUUCCCCAAAUGCGGGAAAACAGAAAUCAAGCUGAGCGAGCUAUGAAGAACAAUCCAGUAUGCAGCAUUCUUC